This is a small nucleolar RNA of Apodemus sylvaticus (European woodmouse), 142 nucleotides long. RefSeq annotates it as small nucleolar RNA SNORA48. Lineage: Eukaryota; Metazoa; Chordata; Mammalia; Rodentia; Muridae. The transcript has a single exon. The record is from RefSeq and is a predicted model, not a curated record.
ACCCCCAGCAAUGGACAAAGAGACACCUUGUUGGUGGUGGUGUUCUUACAUCAGUCAGGGGCAGAGCAGAUGGCAGUCCUUGGCUCAUCCUAGCUUGACUCCUAGAUAGAUGAAUAAGGUUUUUUGUGUUUAGGAUUCAUAA